UUUCCGUAGGUGAACCUGCGGAAGGAUCAUUAAAGAGUAAGGGUCUUCGGGCCCGAUCUCCAACCCUUUGUUUAACUACCAUGUUGCUUUGGCGGGCCCGUCUCACGACCGCCGGAAGUUUGGCUUCGACCAAACUUCUGGCCCGUGCCCGUCAGUGGCCCCUUCAAAUUCUUGAUCAAGUAUGAUGUCUUAGUUAAAAACUUAAUAGUUAAAACUUUCAACAACGGAUCUCUUGGUUCUGGCAUCGAUGAAAAACGCAGC
Molecule: unclassified non-coding RNA, 261 nt
Filed under: plant metagenome
Description: partial contains small subunit ribosomal RNA, internal transcribed spacer 1, and 5.8S ribosomal RNA
Rfam family: 5.8S ribosomal RNA (bases 213-261)
Source: RNAcentral